This is a long non-coding RNA of Seriola aureovittata, 565 nucleotides long. RefSeq lists it as uncharacterized. The record is from RefSeq and is a predicted model, not a curated record. Lineage: Eukaryota; Metazoa; Chordata; Actinopteri; Carangiformes; Carangidae. The transcript is spliced from 3 exons.
CAGAAAAGUAAUAGAAACGCAGAUAAAAUGCUAACGCAGUCGUGUCACAGCUGCCUACCUUUACCAGGGGUGCGGCUGGAGGGUCCUGAAGAGCAACGGAUCUGGUUGCACAGACCACCCUUGUCUGGACGUUGGCUGUAAGGAACACAACACCUUCCACAAGCGUAUCAUGAUGCCCAUAGAUCAUUUGAACCUGGAGAGGGGGGAGUUUAAUGGAGUCGCUCUGAUGAAAGUGCACGCCUUUACUCUUGUGUAUGAAUCUCAUGGUUCAGUACAGUAGGUGAGGCAGACUUGAGAGAAUUUUAUUAAUUUUUCCCGGAGCUGAUCUAAUAUCUUCCUGAUUGGUUGCUUCCUCCUGCUGGAUCAGGUCACUGCCAGGGGACAAAGCGUACAGGAUGUGUGCUUAACAGGAGGAGAUCUCGGCCUAGCGCCACAAAGCUCCCACCACCACUUAAACACGGGAACUGCGGAACUGUCACGCCAAAAAUGUCAGACGCUUUUUAUUCUCAGCACCUCUAUAAUUUGUGAUUUAUGCCAUACAGUAAAAUAUAACAAUGCACCAAUG